GACGAACGCUGGCGGCGUGCCUAACACAUGCAAGUCGAGCGAGGAGAGUUCCUUCGGGAACAAACCUAGCGGCGGACGGGUGAGUAACACGUGGGCAACCUGCCUUGUAGAGGGGAAUAGCCUUCCGAAAGGAAGAUUAAUACCGCAUAACAUUACAGUUUCGCAUGAAACAGUAAUUAAAGGAGCAAUCCGCUACAAGAUAGGCCCGCGGCGCAUUAGCUAGUUGGUGAGGUAACGGCUCACCAAGGCGACGAUGCGUAGCCGACCUGAGAGGGUGAUCGGCCACAUUGGGACUGAGACACGGCCCAGACUCCUACAGGAGGCAGCAGUGGGGAAUAUUGCACAAUGGGGGAAACCCUGAUGCAGCAACGCCGCGUGAGUGAUGAAGGUUUUCGGAUCGUAAAGCUCUGUCUUCGGGGACGAUAAUGACGGUACCCGAGGAGGAAGCCACGGCUAACUACGUG
RNAcentral lists this ribosomal RNA (464 nucleotides) under uncultured bacterium. Its description in RNAcentral is "bacterial SSU rRNA". It matches the Rfam family "Bacterial small subunit ribosomal RNA", at positions 28 to 507 of the family's 1533-position model. The record is from RNAcentral.